UGGGGAAUAUUGGACAAUGGGGGAAACCCUGAUCCAGCGACGCCGCGUGGGUGAUGAAGGCUUUCGGGUCGUAAAGCCCUGUCAGGAGGAAAGAAUGCUCCUAUGAUAAAUACUCAUAGGAAGUGACGGUACCUCCAAAGGAAGCACCGGCCAACUCCGUGCCAGCAGCCGCGGUAAGACGGAGGGUGCAAGCGUUGCUCGGAAUUACUGGGCGUAAAGGGUGCGUAGGCGGCCUUUCAAGUCCGGCGUGAAAGCCCAGGGCUCAGCCUUGGAAGUGCGCUAGAAACUGAAUGGCUAGAGUAUCGGAUGGGAGAGUGGAAUUCCUGGUGUAGCGGUGAAAUGCGUAGAUAUCAGGAGGAAUACCGGUGGCGAAGGCGACUCUCUGGACGAUAACUGACGCUGAGGCACGAAAGCGUGGGGAGCAAACAGGAUUAGAUACCCCCGUAGUCCCUGAGCGGGCUGGCAAGGCGCAU
RNAcentral lists this ribosomal RNA (473 nucleotides) under uncultured bacterium. RNAcentral's name for it is "bacterial SSU rRNA". It matches the Rfam family "Bacterial small subunit ribosomal RNA", at positions 355 to 825 of the family's 1533-position model. The record is from RNAcentral.